RNAcentral lists this ribosomal RNA (253 nucleotides) under uncultured bacterium. Its description in RNAcentral is "partial 16S ribosomal RNA". It matches the Rfam family "Bacterial small subunit ribosomal RNA", at positions 524 to 776 of the family's 1533-position model. The record is from RNAcentral.
UACGAAGGGGGCUAGCGUUGCUCGGAAUCACUGGGCGUAAAGCGCACGUAGGCGGGUUGCUAAGUCAGGGGUGAAAUCCUGGAGCUCAACUCCAGAACUGCCUUUGAUACUGGCGGCCUUGAGUCCGGGAGAGGUGAGUGGAACUGCGAGUGUAGAGGUGAGAUUCGUAGAUAUUCGCAAGAACACCAGUGGCGAAGGCGGCUCACUGGCCCGGUACUGACGCUGAGGAGCGAAAGCAUGGGGAGCGAACAGG